RNAcentral lists this ribosomal RNA (494 nucleotides) under uncultured bacterium. RNAcentral's name for it is "partial 16S ribosomal RNA". It matches the Rfam family "Bacterial small subunit ribosomal RNA", at positions 28 to 507 of the family's 1533-position model. The record is from RNAcentral.
GACGAACGCUGGCGGCGCGCUUAACACAUGCAAGUCGAACGGAAAGGCCUGCUUUCCCUUGUGGAUUGCGGGUACUCGAGUGGCGAACGGGUGAGUAACACGUGAGUGAUCUGCCCCCAACUUGGGUAUAAGCCUGGGAAACUGGGUCUAAUUCCCGAUAGGACUGCAGGGUGGUGCCUGUGGUGGAAAACGAUUUUCUAGUGGUUGGGGAUGAGCUCGCGGCCUAUCAGCUUGUUGGUGGGGUAAUGGCCUACCAAGGCGGCGACGGGUAGCCGGCCUGAGAGGGUGGACGGCCACAUUGGGACUGAGAUACGGCCCAGACUCCUACGGGAGGCAGCAGUGGGGAAUAUUGCUCAAUGGGCGGAAGCCUGAUGCAGCGACGCCGCGUGGGGGAUGACGGCCUUCGGGUUGUAAACUCCUUUCGACCGCGAGGAAGCCACCUGGUUGGAAGGGUGGUGACGGUAGUGGUAGAAGAAGCACCGGCUAACUACGUG